GGUGUGUGUGUGGCUGGUGAGAUCUCUGUCUCUGGAGUGGCCAUUGUGUGUGUGUGAUGUGUGUUGGCCUGAGAGGGGUUGAAUAAUGCAUAGAUCAUUGGAAAGGUAUUUAUAGGAAAGCAGAGUGAUUUAAAGUUUAAUGGCAGGCUUUACCAUCAGUGCUGUACAGCAUCAUACACGCUCACUCUCUCGCUUCCGCACUCUCUCUCUCUCAAUUGUUUGUCACUCUCUUUUCCUGUCUUCAGUAUACUGGCUAGCCUGUCUCCUUCACUUCUCACAUCUCUCCAUCCCUGUCUUUACGUCUCUCCCUCUUUUCCCUGUCCGUUAGCUGUCCAGCCUGUCAUAUUGUCCUUUCUCUCUGUCAGAUGAACAGCCUCUAGAGCUGUUAGCCAUGUAAAGCCAUUGAUAUUUAAUGUGAUGUGCUGGUCUCAACCAUUCACUGGGCCGCUGAGGUCUGAUCAGUGGAAGGUAGGCUGGAACUAGAAUACUGAAAGAAGGUUCAGGACGACGCAAUGCCUAGUACAGCGUCAUACAGCGUCAUACAGCGUCAUACAGCUUCAUACAGCUUCAUACUGCCAAAUGCUCAAAGCUGAUUUGAAAUAUAUUGUGAUUCGCCCAAUAAAUCAAAGCAGUGUGUUUGGGUUUAAUCUUGUGUUUAGGUGUGUCCCAAAAGGAAUAGCGGUGACCCAAUAGGUCCUGACCUGUUGUUGGGAAACACUCAUCUGUUUCUCCAUCCCUCUCUCCACGUUUUCUUCUCUGACAGUGUUCACUCCAGCCUUCCAUACGCCUUUUCUUUUUCUCACUACCUGUCUUUCCCCUCUCUCCAUCUCUCCCUCAUGUUUACAUUGCCCCACUACCUUCCUUUCUCCUCUCUCCAUCUCCCCUCCUCUUGCUCUCUUUCCUCCCUCCCUCAAAACGUCCAUCUCUCCCCACUUUCCCCUCUUCCUCGCUCUCUGCUGUUUACAUCCUCCCCUCCUCUCACUGACUGGUGUUAUAGGGGGACAUCAGUUGUAAGCUCCUUGCCCAAAUGGCCACUGACACACACACACACACACACACACACCGACACACACCGACACACACCGACACACACCG
Molecule: long non-coding RNA, 1095 nt
Filed under: Salmo salar (Atlantic salmon)
Lineage: Eukaryota; Metazoa; Chordata; Actinopteri; Salmoniformes; Salmonidae
Description: lncRNA (ENSSSAG00000090968.1)
Source: RNAcentral